UGGACAAAUUAUUGUAUUCGACUGUAUUCACGACGUGAAACAGGGGAUUACACUGUUUUUAAACGGAAAGUGAAUCAAUAAAAUCAUAAUAGAAUCCC
RNAcentral lists this microRNA precursor (98 nucleotides) under Nicotiana attenuata. RNAcentral describes it as "MIR6152 microRNA precursor family". It matches the Rfam family "MIR6152 microRNA precursor family". Lineage: Eukaryota; Viridiplantae; Streptophyta; Magnoliopsida; Solanales; Solanaceae. The record is from Rfam by way of RNAcentral.